This is a long non-coding RNA of Corvus hawaiiensis (hawaiian crow), 363 nucleotides long. RefSeq lists it as uncharacterized. The record is from RefSeq and is a predicted model, not a curated record. The transcript has 5 exons. NCBI's taxonomy places the organism in Eukaryota, Metazoa, Chordata, Aves, Passeriformes, Corvidae.
GUAUGUGCCGCAACGAUAGCGUCAGCCUGGGAGCGCAGCCGAAGCGUGCGGCCCCAAGGAGCCCGGCCCUCUUAGGAGAUGCCAACUAAGAGACAACGGCCUGGUAACGGCUGGAACUUCCCAGAUGGCGAGGUGGCCUUCUUUCACACCUGAUGCAGAUUUGCAUCCCCGGACAGCCGAGAGACGCAGAUCGAUUAUAUCUGUGGCGGAGCGCUCCAUACCAGGUGGUAAAGCCGGAUCUUAGCAGUCAGUGUCGAGUGAGCGAGGCGGUCCACUUGCAUUACGCCGAACCCCCUCGCAGAACGGCCGACGGACCCGGCUCGCCGCCCUCGUGACCCCUCUGCAAGUAUGGCAAAGCUCUGC